AAACCAACUUUUUAGUAGAUCACUACUUCUAGUCUACUUUUGGCUAAUAAUGAAGGUCUUACGAAUCAUGGCUGUUGUUGGCGUAUCUUUAUUGUUUGUUGCUAACGCAAAGCAAAGAUGGCACAAUUUGCAUAAAGGCCUACCAUAUCCCAUACUAGGACCGACCAUUUAAAGUGAAACCUCGCAAUAAAGUUCCUUUGUAAUGCUGUCUACGUCGAGAAUCUUUAAAAUCCAUCGUAAGAUAGAAAUCAGUAGCAGUGAAUAAGAUAGGGAAUAUCUGAAAGAAUUAAUCCUAUCUGAAUGCGAAUGCUAAAGAGGUAUCUUAACUAAUUAUUAAACCGAAUUGAACAUUCUAACUCAUUGACUAUCAUUUUAAGCUUGCCAAUUCUAGUCCAUCAAAGGUUUACUUUUCUAUAGGGAUUCUUAUCCGAAAUCGCUAUCAAUGGCUUUCAAUACUCUGGCGGUUCAUUCAUAGCCGAGUUGGCCGAUUUGUCAGUCAACCGCUCAUUCAAAAAUCGAGAUGUGUUAACAUGUAAAUUGAUAUCUCAAAAUUGUUCACUGCCUUAACGAUUGAGAACGAACUCAAGUUGAGUUGAAAUUUACGAUCGUCGGAAGGGGCAAAAGAAACAUGCAAAUAAACCUAUUUACAUACCAUAUAUCCGAUGAAUAAACCCGGUGGUAAUGAUGCCCCACAAAUGGAUUAACCGACGAUGCCCCGAUCAAUGGGUCUCUCGUGUGGUUUUAUGCCCUCCAAUGCCGGUUGGCAUCCAAGACAUUGUCUUUGUGGUCGGAUUGCCGGCAUUCGUGGCGUCGUCAACCUUACACUGCUGACUUCAUUGAUAAAACUUGUUAGAGCUGUCGCUUCCUCUUUGUAAGUGAUUUUUUCCCCCCAGUCUCGGUGGCUUCUUUUUUUUUUACCAAAGCAAAUCUGGCUGGCCGGAUCUGGUCGGCUGGUCUCUUGGCCACUUGGCCACUUGGUCUCUGCCUGGCCGGUGUCGAUGUCAUGUGACUGCCGUGGCCCAGUGGAUUGUCUGACUCCCUGGCGGAAGUUGUUGUGGGAAAUGGAUUUGUGUAGCAAAUACUCCGCGUCACUUCCCUAAAAUCUUCGCUUGUUGAAUUUGGCUAACAAAGGUGGUGCUUAAUUUAUGUAACUGAUUCAGGGAAUGUUUAUUUAUCUCUAAUUCAUAACAUCAUGCAUAUCAUAAUAAUAUUGAAAGAUACAUCUCGGUUAAGAUACUAUUUGCUUCUUUUUGGAAACAGAAAUAUGAUCAAAAAGUAUUUAAAUAUUUUUUUUGCAAUUAUUUUUAAUGCCCAUGCCCAAG
Drosophila simulans is the source of this 1322-nucleotide long non-coding RNA. RefSeq lists it as uncharacterized. The record is from RefSeq and is a predicted model, not a curated record. The transcript is spliced from 3 exons. Lineage: Eukaryota; Metazoa; Arthropoda; Insecta; Diptera; Drosophilidae.